GCAGCAGCAGCAGCAGCUUCUGCAUAGGAAAGACAAGGAGAAUUGUUCACAAAUAAUGAAACCGAACAUUUAGUCAAGAAGAAAUGGGUUUAGUGAGAAAAAUACACUAUACAAAAGCUGACUCAACAAGCAAAACCAGUACAGUAGGACAAACUCACACACAGCAGAGGCAAUGAUAUAUAUAUAUAGUACUGGCUGGAUCAAAUAGAUUGUUUUCUUUUUACAUAAGAAAUAAUUUAUUUUUCCAGUUAUUAUUUUAUUUUUAAUUGACCAUUCUUAUUAAAUUCCUUGAUUUAAAUAGUUUAUUAUUUUU
Molecule: unclassified non-coding RNA, 313 nt
Filed under: Hevea brasiliensis (rubber tree)
Lineage: Eukaryota; Viridiplantae; Streptophyta; Magnoliopsida; Malpighiales; Euphorbiaceae
Source: RNAcentral